GGCGCCGAGAGGGCGUGGGGGGGGGAGCCCGGUUGGGCGGACGAGGCGGAGGAGACUGGGUACUGUGGCCGACGGAGGGCUGGAGGAAACAUAACUCAGCCAUAGCCCAUUGUAGAAGUCCAUUUUCCUGGCUCAGUGAUUGGUCCGCAGGGGACAUGUGACCAAGAAGAGCUAAUAGGAGUUCCUCCUUGGCUUAAGCUCCACACUGUAGAAAGCAAGGAAACUACCAAAGACUCCUGCGGUUUGUCAAAAGGAUGAAAAGAUACAGGAGGCAACCCAAAGGAUGUCCCACUGGCCAAAAAUGGGGCAUUCAAACACUGAAGAGUAAAACCAACAAGGAUUGAAACCAAGUGCCCAUAACUAACCACGAAAAUCCUCUAACAUCCACUGGUCUCCUUUGGAGAUAGCAGGGCAGUCACUAUUAUGAAAAUUGUUAAACAGAGAAUCAGGGACUAUGUUGGCUUUUCCAUUAAAUCAAAUAUUAGACUUAGAUUCCUUCAUGAAAUAAUAGAUUUAGGCAACAAUUCUCAUUGUCUCCAAAACCAUUAGGAUAGUUGUUGGGAAAAUCUUGUAUAAUGGAUAGAUCAAGUUCACUAUUUGAAUUUGAAUGUACUCAUCAGCCUUAUUGUCAUUGCAAGUAGAACCACAAAUUAUUAUGUGUCUCCUCACAGAAUGUAGGGAGAAUUACACAGCACCACUUAUGAAGUACUUUUUCCAAGAAAAAUGAACCUGAAUUUCAUCAAGCUUCCAGAUAUAACUACCAAUUUACAGAGAAACACUAGGGAUAGAGGAAUAUAAGAAUGACACCACGGGGAUCCCAGUCAACUAAAUGUGGAAUGUGGAAAAUUCUAUAUGACAAAUAACCUGGUUUCUUCAGCAAAUGAAU
Mustela erminea (ermine) is the source of this 886-nucleotide long non-coding RNA. RefSeq lists it as uncharacterized. Lineage: Eukaryota; Metazoa; Chordata; Mammalia; Carnivora; Mustelidae. The record is from RefSeq and is a predicted model, not a curated record. The transcript has 3 exons.